This is a long non-coding RNA of Salvia miltiorrhiza (redroot sage), 507 nucleotides long. RefSeq lists it as uncharacterized. The transcript has 2 exons. NCBI's taxonomy places the organism in Eukaryota, Viridiplantae, Streptophyta, Magnoliopsida, Lamiales, Lamiaceae. The record is from RefSeq and is a predicted model, not a curated record.
ACCAAGCCACAAGCUUGUCAUUCAAAAUCAAAAUAUACACAUUAAUAUAGUGAGCCAAAAAAUGGCUUCGAAAAGAAAUGUAUUCAUUGCUGUGUUCUUAGUUACGGUGCUUCUCAUUUCCUCGGAAGUUGCAGACACUAGAGAACUCACUCAGACGUCUAAUACAGUGGCGUCAAAGGAGCAUGAGAAGAAAGGUGAUGAUGGCAUAGGAGCUGAUACGUAUGCGUAUGACUGUGCGUUCGGUUGUUGUGGUCGUGGACCUCGUGGUGCCGGUACUGAUACAUACGCGUAUUGCCGCUGCUGCCGCCGUUGAUAAACCACUUCAAAUCUCAGCCUCCAGCCCACCCACAUAAAUAAAUUGCAUUCUUUUUUUUUCUUUUUCUUUUUCUUUUUUAAUCUUUAUACAAGUGAUAAAUACGUUUGUUUGUGGUAUGAGUUAGUUUGUUUAAGAACUAUAGAACACCUCAAUUUGCUUCAUUAUCAAUAAAAUGGAGGAAGAUUGCAAUA